This 382-nucleotide long non-coding RNA is filed under the name Mytilus galloprovincialis (Mediterranean mussel). Lineage: Eukaryota; Metazoa; Mollusca; Bivalvia; Mytilida; Mytilidae. The record is from RNAcentral.
CCCUCGAGCAACCGUGACGUUUCCGUCAGUGUUCAUCCAUAAUAUUUACAAAAUUAUAUUGGAGAUCGUUAGAAUGAUUUGAAUCAACUUGGGUUCACUGUCCACUGAGAACAAUCGUAGCAUUUAUUUCAUUAUGUGAACAUCUUCAAACAUUUUUUUAUAAUAAUAGAUUUUUGUCUUCUGUGUGAUUUUUCCCUGUUUUGUUUUCUUCUUUUUGAAUGCUUCGCAACAAUAUUUUUUUUCAUCUGUGUGACUGCUUCUUUACUGUUAGAUUUACUAUGUCAAUGCUUACCAAAUUUAGAUUUCGUAAGCCAUGAAUUGGGUACACUACUUUUGAAGCAUUUGAAAUGUAGUGAAGCCUUGUUCGUUUUAUCAAUUUCAA